UGGGGAAUAUCGCACAAUGGGCGAAAGCCUGAUGCAGCAACGCCGCGUGAGUGAUGAAGGCCUUCGGGUUGUAAAGCUCUGUCUUUUGGGACGAUAAUGACGGUACCAAAGGAGGAAGCCACGGCUAACUACGUGCCAGCAGCCGCGGUAAUACGUAGGUGGCAAGCGUUGUCCGGAUUUACUGGGCGUAAAGGAUGCGUAGGCGGAUUUUUAAGUGAGAUGUGAAAACCCUAAGCUUAACUUGGGGACUGCAUUUCAUACUGGAAAUCUAGAGUGCGGGAGAGGAGAAUGGAAUUCCUAGUGUAGCGGUGAAAUGCGUAGAGAUUAGGAAGGACACCAGUGGCGAAGGCGAUUCUCUGGACCGUAACUGACGCUGAGGCAUGAAAGCGUGGGUAGCAAACAGGAUUAGAUACCCUGGUAGUCCACGCCGUAAACGAUGAGUACUAGGUGUAGGAGGUAUCGACCCCUUCUGUGCCGCAGUUAACACAAUAAGUACUCCGCCUGGGAAGUACGAUCGCAAGAUUAAAAACUC
Molecule: ribosomal RNA, 532 nt
Filed under: uncultured bacterium
Lineage: Bacteria
Description: partial 16S ribosomal RNA
Rfam family: Bacterial small subunit ribosomal RNA
Source: RNAcentral